RNAcentral lists this transfer RNA (71 nucleotides) under Nanobdellota archaeon. RNAcentral describes it as "tRNA-Val". It matches the Rfam family "tRNA". Rfam says of the family: Transfer RNA (tRNA) molecules are approximately 80 nucleotides in length. Their secondary structure includes four short double-helical elements and three loops (D, anti-codon, and T loops). Lineage: Archaea; Nanobdellati; Nanobdellota. The record is from RNAcentral.
GGCCCGUUAGUCUAAUGGUAGAACACCUCGUUUACACCGAGGAAGCAGAAGUUCGAUUCUUCUACGGGCCA